UGGGGAAUUUUGGACAAUGGGGGCAACCCUGAUCCAGCAAUGCCGCGUGUGUGAAGAAGGCCUUCGGGUUGUAAAGCACUUUUGUCCGGGAAGAAAUCGCACCUGAUAAUACCGGGUGUGGAUGACGGUACCGGAAGAAUAAGGACCGGCUAAUUACGUGCCAGCAGCCGCGGUAAUACGUAGGGUCCAAGCGUUAAUCGGAAUUACUGGGCGUAAAGCGUGCGCAGGCGGUUGUGCAAGACCGAUGUGAAAUCCCCGGGCUUAACCUGGGAAUUGCAUUGGUGACUGCACGGCUAGAGUGUGUCAGAGGGGGGUAGAAUUCCACGUGUAGCAGUGAAAUGCGUAGAGAAGUGGAGGAAUACCGAUGGAGAAGGCAGCCCCCUGGGAUAACACUGACGCUCAUGCACGAAAGCGUGGGGAGCAAACAGG
RNAcentral lists this ribosomal RNA (429 nucleotides) under Bacillota bacterium. RNAcentral's name for it is "Firmicutes bacterium partial 16S ribosomal RNA". It matches the Rfam family "Bacterial small subunit ribosomal RNA", at positions 355 to 776 of the family's 1533-position model. The record is from RNAcentral. Lineage: Bacteria; Bacillati; Bacillota.